RNAcentral lists this ribosomal RNA (641 nucleotides) under Escherichia coli. Its description in RNAcentral is "partial 23S ribosomal RNA". It matches the Rfam family "Bacterial large subunit ribosomal RNA", at positions 2302 to 2925 of the family's 2925-position model. The record is from RNAcentral. Lineage: Bacteria; Pseudomonadati; Pseudomonadota; Gammaproteobacteria; Enterobacterales; Enterobacteriaceae.
GGAGGAGCACGAAGGUUGGCUAAUCCUGGUCGGACAUCAGGAGGUUAGUGCAAUGGCAUAAGCCAGCUUGACUGCGAGCGUGACGGCGCGAGCAGGUGCGAAAGCAGGUCAUAGUGAUCCGGUGGUUCUGAAUGGAAGGGCCAUCGCUCAACGGAUAAAAGGUACUCCGGGGAUAACAGGCUGAUACCGCCCAAGAGUUCAUAUCGACGGCGGUGUUUGGCACCUCGAUGUCGGCUCAUCACAUCCUGGGGCUGAAGUAGGUCCCAAGGGUAUGGCUGUUCGCCAUUUAAAGUGGUACGCGAGCUGGGUUUAGAACGUCGUGAGACAGUUCGGUCCCUAUCUGCCGUGGGCGCUGGAGAAUUGAGGGGGGCUGCUCCUAGUACGAGAGGACCGGAGUGGACGCAUCACUGGUGUUCGGGUUGUCAUGCCAAUGGCACUGCCCGGUAGCUAAAUGCGGAAGAGAUAAGUGCUGAAAGCAUCUAAGCACGAAACUUGCCCCGAGAUGAGUUCUCCCUGACUCCUUGAGAGUCCUGAAGGAACGUUGAAGACGACGACGUUGAUAGGCCGGGUGUGUAAGCGCAGCGAUGCGUUGAGCUAACCGGUACUAAUGAACCGUGAGGCUUAACCUUACAACGCCGAAG